RNAcentral lists this ribosomal RNA (469 nucleotides) under uncultured bacterium. RNAcentral describes it as "bacterial SSU rRNA". It matches the Rfam family "Bacterial small subunit ribosomal RNA", at positions 30 to 494 of the family's 1533-position model. The record is from RNAcentral.
AUUGAACGCUGGCGGCAUGCUUUACACAUGCAAGUCGAACGGUAACAGGCCGCAAGGUGCUGACGAGUGGCGAACGGGUGAGUAAUGCAUCGGAACGUGCCCAGUCGUGGGGGAUAACGCAGCGAAAGCUGCGCUAAUACCGCAUACGAUCUAUGGAUGAAAGCGGGGGACCGUAAGGCCUCGCGCGAUUGGAGCGGCCGAUGUCAGAUUAGGUAGUUGGUGGGGUAAAGGCUCACCAAGCCAACGAUCUGUAGCUGGUCUGAGAGGACGACCAGCCACACUGGGACUGAGACACGGCCCAGACUCCUACGGGAGGCAGCAGUGGGGAAUUUUGGACAAUGGGCGCAAGCCUGAUCCAGCAAUGCCGCGUGCAGGAAGAAGGCCUUCGGGUUGUAACUGCUUUGUACGGUAACGAAAAGGACUCUGGUUAAUACCUGGGCGACAUGACGGUACCGUAAGAAUAAGCACC